CCUACGUGUGGCUGCAGUGGGGAAUCUUCCGCAAUGGGCGCAAGCCUGAUGGAGCCAUGCCGCGUGUUUGAAUGAAGGCCUUCGGGUUGUAAAGACUUGUUGACAGGGACGAAUAAGUAAUGCAAAUAGCUUUGUGCAUGACGGUACCUGUUUAGAAAGCCACGGCUAACUACGUGCCCGCAGCCGCGGUAAUACGGAGGGAGCAAGCGUUUUCCGGAAUUACUGGGCGUAAAGGGCGCGUAGGUGGGCGGUUAAGUCAGAUGUGAAAACCCCGGGCUCAACCUGGGGACUGCACAUGAAACUGGGUGGCUUGAGGGCAGGAGAGGAGAGUAGAAUGCCAGGUGUAGCGGUGAAAUGCGUAGAGAUUAGGAGGAACACCAGUGGCGAAGGCGACUUUCUGGACGGUGCCUGACGCUCAGGCGCGAAAGCGUGGGUAGCGAACGGGAUUAGAUACCCUUGUAGUC
This 464-nucleotide ribosomal RNA is filed under the name uncultured bacterium. RNAcentral describes it as "partial 16S ribosomal RNA". It matches the Rfam family "Bacterial small subunit ribosomal RNA", at positions 338 to 795 of the family's 1533-position model. The record is from RNAcentral.